RNAcentral lists this ribosomal RNA (393 nucleotides) under Oedaleus senegalensis. RNAcentral describes it as "eukaryotic LSU rRNA". Lineage: Eukaryota; Metazoa; Arthropoda; Insecta; Orthoptera; Acrididae. The record is from RNAcentral.
UUAUUUUAAAAAUUAGAGGUUAAACCCGAUGAACCUAAAUAUCCAGUAUGAGAAAGUCAUUAUUAUGAGUAUAAAUUUAUAUAUUCGGUUAAUGUAUUAAUAGUGUGCAUUUUUUUCAUAAAAAGGACAUUGUAAUCUGUUAAUACAUUAAUUAAAAUUUUAUAUUUAUCAUAAAGAGUCAAUUAUUUUGUAUAAGUUUACAUAUAAAUUAAUUAAUUUAGCUUACAUAAUUUUAUUGAUGUAAGAUCGAUGAAUUUCUAGAUAAAUAGUUAACAGUAUUAAAAUAUAUAAUUUUUAUGUCUUAUAUAUAAUAUGUACAUGUACAUAUAUAUGUUUUUGCACUUAUAUUAUAACACUGCUCACGCGACUUCGCCUCGUUUUCGGAUCGGUUAA